CAUGUAGGCGGCCCUGCAAGCUUGGUGUGAAAUCCACAGGCUCAACCUGUGGACUGCAUUGAGAACUACAGGGCUUGAGUCGCUGAGGCGAAACUGGAAUUCCAGGUGUAGGGGUGAAAUCUGCAGAUAUCUGGAAGAACACCAAUGGCGAAGGCAAGUUUCGGGCAGAUGACUGACGCUGAGGUGCGAAGGUGCGGGGAGCAAACA
Molecule: ribosomal RNA, 207 nt
Filed under: uncultured bacterium
Lineage: Bacteria
Description: partial 16S ribosomal RNA
Rfam family: Bacterial small subunit ribosomal RNA
Source: RNAcentral